CCAAUUUGGAGAGUUUGAUCCUGGCUCAGGACGAACGCUGGCGGCGUGCCUAAUACAUGCAAGUCGAGCGGAGUCUUGUUGGAAGCUUGCUUCCAACCUGGCUUAGCGGCGGACGGGUGAGUAACACGUAGGCAACCUACCCUCUAGACUGGGAUAACUACCGGAAACGGUAGCUAAUACCGGAUAAUUCCUUGACCCUCAUGGGUUUGGGAUGAAAGGCGGAGCAAUCUGCUGCUAGAGGAUGGGCCUGCGGCGCAUUAGCUAGUUGGUGGGGUAACGGCCCACCAAGGCGACGAUGCGUAGCCGACCUGAGAGGGUGAACGGCCACACUGGGACUGAGACACGGCCCAGACUCCUACGGGAGGCAGCAGUAGGGAAUCUUCCGCAAUGGGCGAAAGCCUGACGGAGCAACGCCGCGUGAGUGAUGAAGGUUUUCGGAUCGUAAAGCUCUGUUGCCAGGGAAGAACGUCCGGUAGAGUAACUGCUGCCGGAGUGACGGU
RNAcentral lists this ribosomal RNA (500 nucleotides) under Paenibacillus jilunlii. RNAcentral describes it as "bacterial SSU rRNA". It matches the Rfam family "Bacterial small subunit ribosomal RNA", at positions 1 to 476 of the family's 1533-position model. The record is from RNAcentral. Lineage: Bacteria; Bacillati; Bacillota; Bacilli; Caryophanales; Paenibacillaceae.